UGGGGAAUUUUGGACAAUGGGGGAAACCCUGAUCCAGCCCUCCCGCGUGUGCGAUGAAGGCCUUCGGGUUGUAAAGCACUUUUGGCAGGAAAGAAACGUCAUGGGUUAAUACCCCGUGAAACUGACGGUACCUGCAGAAUAAGCACCGGCUAACUACGUGCCAGCAGCCGCGGUAAUACGUAGGGUGCAAGCGUUAAUCGGAAUUACUGGGCGUAAAGCGUGCGCAGGCGGUUCGGAAAGAAAGAUGUGAAAUCCCAGAGCUCAACUUUGGAACUGCAUUUUGAACUACCGGGCUAGAGUGUGUCAGAGGGAGGUGGAAUUCCGCGUGUAGCAGUGAAAUGCGUAGAUAUGCGGAGGAACACCGAUGGCGAAGGCAGCCUCCUGGGAUAACACUGACGCUCAUGCACGAAAGCGUGGGGAGCAAACAGG
RNAcentral lists this ribosomal RNA (429 nucleotides) under Acidobacteriota bacterium. Its description in RNAcentral is "Acidobacteria bacterium partial 16S ribosomal RNA". It matches the Rfam family "Bacterial small subunit ribosomal RNA", at positions 355 to 776 of the family's 1533-position model. Lineage: Bacteria; Pseudomonadati; Acidobacteriota. The record is from RNAcentral.